Aegilops tauschii subsp. strangulata is the source of this 2625-nucleotide non-coding RNA. The record is from RefSeq and is a predicted model, not a curated record. NCBI's taxonomy places the organism in Eukaryota, Viridiplantae, Streptophyta, Magnoliopsida, Poales, Poaceae.
GCUCGAUCCCCUCUCACGCCUAGGGUUCAUAGAGGUUGCGCCGCCACCGCUUGGCUCGGCCUCCUCCUUCCCUUCCCCCCCCCCACCUCCAGCCACACCCGUCCGACCACCUGCCGGAUCCCGCGCCGCCACGCCUGCAUCGCUCCGGUCUUCUCCCACAACUCGCGCAUCGCAACGGCGCUCGCGCCCGCGCGGUCUCCUCCAUGACCUGUCUCCCUUGCGGCGGCGGCGACACACAUGACGCAUCCGACGGCGAGCUCCACAGGUCAACGCAUCCUCUCUUCUCUCCCAUGGAAGUCCCUCCCCUCUCACAUCUCUCUCUCUGUCUGCGAGCGGUGGCGGCCGGCUGCGCGACAGGUCGAUCUGGUCACGCCUUCCCACCAUCGACCUCGCCGUCAUUGAAGCACGCCACCACGCCGCCGCUCUUCUGUCUCUCCCUGCUCGCCUCCCGCGGCCAAGGAGCGCCCCAACCUCGCAUGUCGCUCGUGUGGCUCCCAUGGUGCCGCCCCGCAUAGCUCCUUGCUGAGCGCUGCAGGUCUUGAUGCCCGCCGAUUUGAUCUGCACAGCCACUCAAUCCUCGGAACUCCCGAUCGACGGCAACUCGACCGGGGGCUGGGGUGAGAAGACUUCGACAAUGCAGACGAGGAAGAUCACGUCGUGGACGAUUGCCUCAGCUAGGGUCCUUUGUUGUCAUGGCACCGUUGACCCUGUGCUGCGGGCCGGCGAGGUCGUUGAACUUGCCGAAGGCAUCACCAAGCUUCUAUCUCUAGAUCUGCACCAAUCCUUGUCAGAAAAUUGAGAAGUCAUGGCAUAGUCAAAUCUGAACAAGCCGUGUGGAGCUUCGCCAUGAGUCUGCACAUGAAUUUGGGAAUGGAUGGAUGUCACUCCGAAGAAGUCAGAGAAUAUUUUCAAUGCGCAGCAGGACAAGAGAAAAGAAGAGAAGCAAAGAGAGGACCAAGAUCUCUAGCUAUCAAUGAAAUUUUCAGAGUAGUUUUUGUUGCCUUUGUGUAACCCUGAUAGCAGCUUCUUGGAAGGUUCAGAUGUGUGGCAAAGGAUUUCAAUUUUCCUGUUUACACAAAGGAAACUCGAGGAAGGUUCAGAUUUCUCAUGCUUGGUUCUGUGCUCUCAGGGUUACAUAGACAAAAAUGCCUCCUAUUUACACAAAGGCAACUCGAGGAAGGUCCAGAUUUCUCAUGACUGCUUCUUCGGCAUUUCAUGCCUGUGCCAUCUUAUUAGAAAAUGUAGUUUGUUUUAUAGCUGAUGAUGCUUGAUGCUUUUAUCGAUUAGUAAAUGCUCAGCUUUAGCUCAUAAACUACAUGGCAAAAGCUACUUCCGAUGGGUCUGAUGCAAAUAAUUUUCAUCUUUAGACAUUCCUUUAGUUGAUUAUUUAAUCCUUUUAUAAGAAUCUAUUUAGCUUUGUAUUGUUGCAGUUUCAUUAUAUAUCCACUUACCAAUGCAUCUAAAGAUUCAACAAUGUAGAAUCCAGCAUCAGUCUUGGGACUACAAAUUGUUUCUUCAUUCCUCCGUGUUGCACUGUAGGUGAUAAGGGGUCGAGGUCGUAUGUUCGUCGUGGCAUCAAUACAGUAAUACACUUCACUUUCCUUUUCCUUUUCCCUUUUUCUGUUCUUGCAUUUAUUUCUUCUUCGCGGACCUCUCUGUCUACUGCUUUAAUAUGGUUCUGAUUGGUGCCCUGCAUCUUCCAAGAUAUAUGGAUUUUGGUCGAGCAAAUACCAUGACAUGAGCUUGAAGAUUUCAAAGAUACAGAAGGUUGACAGAAAGAGGAUACACUGAUUUCAGCUGCGGACAUUGAGCUGAGUCUCUCCCUAAUAGGUGUUUCUCUCUACUUUGUGCUCCAGAUUUGUUUCCCUACAAUAUGGCGGAUUAAUGCAUAUUCUUCUGAAGUCAUAGUACAUUCAUGGUCUGUAUAUAUGUUUGUAUGCUGCAAACCUGAGUCCGGUUUCAAAGUUUGGCCGCAGCUAGCUUGAUUUGGAGACAUUUCCUGUUAGGAGUUAAACUUUGGUUUGGAGGCAUCGAGCUUUGGCUGUAACUAGCUUUGUUACUUGGUAUACCUCUGUCAGCAUUCAGGAGCCGGGUAGUUGUUGAGCGGGUUGUGGGAGAGGCGGUCGGCGAGCGCGGGCUAGACGGGAAGGUGAUGCUUGCGAUGGCGACCAUGCCGGCGGGCAGGGCAAGGUCGAUUGUGUCCAUCAUGGUGUUUCCGAGGGAGAGCGAGGCAUCUGCCAUCGCGCAUCUGAAGAAGUCGAUGCUUGGGGCGAGGUUGACCACCGUGGCCGGCGUGAAAGCGGACGGACUUAAAGGCCGGUGACAGGUUUGCCGUCGUCGCACCGUCUCUCAACUUGGCGGAGAGGCGAAAGGAGAGCGGUGGCACCAUGAAGACCUCGACGCCUGCUGCUGUGACCACGACCAGGCCAUUGUGUUUGUAAUAAAGAUACUAAUUGUAUACAUAUCCCCCAGCUUCAAAAACAUUAGAUAAAUAUCCAACUUAUUAUUGAAAAAUCUUGAUUCAAGAUAAAUGGAACCUUUCCUAUAUACAAUGAGCUUAUUAUUUGAAGGUUGCAUUGAUUGUGCUAUUAUUGCUGAAAUAAGAGGCUUACGUGAAUUUGUCAA